Molecule: ribosomal RNA, 837 nt
Filed under: uncultured bacterium
Lineage: Bacteria
Description: bacterial SSU rRNA
Rfam family: Bacterial small subunit ribosomal RNA
Source: RNAcentral
CGAGCGAGUCUGCCUUGAAGAUCGGAGUGCUUGCACUCUGUGAAACAAGAUACAGGCUAGCGGCGGACGGGUGAGUAACACGUGGGUAACCUGCCCAAGAGAUCGGGAUAACACCUGGAAACAGAUGCUAAUACCGGAUAACAACAGAUGAUGCCUAUCAACUGUUUAAAAGAUGGUUCUGCUAUCACUCUUGGAUGGACCUGCGGUGCAUUAGCUAGUUGGUAGGGUAACGGCCUACCAAGGCGAUGAUGCAUAGCCGAGUUGAGAGACUGAUCGGCCACAUUGGGACUGAGACACGGCCCAAACUCCUACGGGAGGCAGCAGUAGGGAAUCUUCCACAAUGGACGCAAGUCUGAUGGAGCAACGCCGCGUGAGUGAAGAAGGGUUUCGGCUCGUAAAGCUCUGUUGUUGGUGAAGAAGGACAGGGGUAGUAACUGACCUUUGUUUGACGGUAAUCAAUUAGAAAGUCACGGCUAACUACGUGCCAGCAGCCGCGGUAAUACGUAGGUGGCAAGCGUUGUCCGGAUUUAUUGGGCGUAAAGCGAGUGCAGGCGGCUCGAUAAGUCUGAUGUGAAAGCCUUCGGCUCAACCGGAGAAUUGCAUCAGAAACUGUCGAGCUUGAGUACAGAAGAGGAGAGUGGAACUCCAUGUGUAGCGGUGAAAUGCGUAGAUAUAUGGAAGAACACCGGUGGCGAAGGCGGCUCUCUGGUCUGUUACUGACGCUGAGGCUCGAAAGCAUGGGUAGCGAACAGGAUUAGAUACCCUGGUAGUCCAUGCCGUAAACGAUGAGUGCUAAGUGUUGGGAGGUUUCCGCCUCUCAGUGCUGCAGCUAACGCA